UUACGGCCAUAUCACAUUGAAAUAUCGGUUCCCGUAAGAUCAACGAAAUUAAUUGACGACGAGCCUGGUCAGUACUUAGAUGGGUGACCGCUUGGGUAUACCAGGUAAUGU
Non-coding RNA from Acanthosepion pharaonis, 111 nucleotides. Lineage: Eukaryota; Metazoa; Mollusca; Cephalopoda; Sepiida; Sepiidae. The record is from the annotation of a GenBank genome assembly.